This 254-nucleotide ribosomal RNA is filed under the name uncultured prokaryote. RNAcentral's name for it is "partial 16S ribosomal RNA". It matches the Rfam family "Bacterial small subunit ribosomal RNA", at positions 524 to 777 of the family's 1533-position model. The record is from RNAcentral.
UACGAAGGGUGCCAGCGUUAAUCGGAAUUACUGGGCGUAAAGCGCGCGUAGGUGGUUCAGUAAGUUGGAAGUGAAAUCCCCGGGCUCAACCUGGGAACUGCUUUCAAAACUGCUGAGCUAGAGUAUGGCAGAGGGUGGUGGAAUUUCCUGUGUAGCGGUGAAAUGCGUAGAUAUAGGAAGGAACACCAGUGGCGAAGGCGACCACCUGGGCUAAUACUGACACUGAGGUGCGAAAGCGUGGGGAGCAAACAGGA